UUUAGAUUUAGGCCAAAUAUAAUGGUAAUUUUAAAUUAUUCUAAAUGCCAGUGAUAUUUCAAAUCAUAUGAGCUUAGAUCACAUUUAAACAAAACAGAAUCGGAUAAAAUAACAAUGUUAUCUUCAUUGUAAAAACCUAACUCAUGUCUAUCCAUUUCAAUUUAAUACUACUGUUGAAUUGAACUUGCAACUCACGUGACAAAGGCAGUAUAGGGCAUUUUUCAAUUAGAAUUUCAUGUUAACCGUUCUACUCAAGGUCAAGAUCAAUUCAUUUUGAACUGAACCCUGAUAUAUUAUAACCCUUUUUAUGGUGAGGAGCUCUGAUUCUGACCUCUGCUGUAGUGGUGUGUCUGUACUCUCCACAUAAUAUGUCUGCUUCCUGAAGGGCCAUGAGAAGUAGUCCUGACUCGUUGCAAUCUGGGUGUCGCCCCGUUUAUGAAGGUUGUCCAUUCUGAGGUCUGAUAUCGGAUAGGGUCCAUUUUGUAUUGCAAGCUCCCAAGCUUUCUCUCCCUUCCUCCCUCUCUCUCCUUCUCUCUUUCUCUCAGAUUCCGGUGAGACACCGUGAGGUCCAUUGAAUGUGGCCACCUGUGUCUUAUUGAACCUUGUCAUGAAGAGAGGAGGAGAGGAGAGAGUCCUCGGAGUGAGCUAGCGGAGGAGCCUCCAGUCGGUCCGGUGUUGCUGUGCUGUUCUAACGAGGGAGAGAGAAAAAGCCAGCGAUGAAAGGAACUGGGUGGCUGCGUUAGGAAAAGUACCCCUCACAGACUCACUCCGCAGACAAGACGGGAACCCUGCAGCAGCAGCCAUGUUGGGUAGUUUUGUCUGAGCUAACCUAACAGCAUAAAUGUCCUCCACAAACCAACAGAAGGUUACACAGUAAAAGCAGCAAAAUGAGAGUUUUCCCCACCUUUCCGUUCUGCUAGGCAUGCAGUCCCCUGCUCUCCUCCUUUACUUCUCAUGUGGCAUUAAAGACACAAGGCAUCAAAAUAAGUCCUCAAGAGGAGACAGAGAUUUUACACUUUUCCUUUUUCUGGCUUUCUCUCUUUUUAGACCUUCUGAUACUUCGGGGAGAGAGAGGGGGAGACGCGUGAGCCCAGCCUUUGCCGUUUUUUGUAACCAGAGCCAAAAGAGGCAGGAAGUUGUUUUACAAUAGCCUUACAGUAAUCUGCCACAAGUGGAAAAAGCCAAAUGCUGGUCGCAGAGUGGAGAAGGUGGCGGGAAAGAGAGAGAGAGAAGCGGGGAGAGAGGAAGGGAGAGAAGGAGCAUAAAAAAAACUGAGAUAGGCAGACACGUGAAUCAAAAGAAUAAUCAGUAUGAACUAAGAUGGAGGACUAGUCUGCCAUGUUGUUUUGUAGUCCUGUAGUACAUAAUUGUGUGUGUGUGUGUGUGUGUGUGUGUGUGUGUGUGUGUGUGUGUGUGUGUGUGUGUGUGUGUGUGUGUGUGUGUGUGUGUGUGUGUGUGUGUGUGUGUGUGUGCGCGCAAACAGGAGGGUUUAGGGAGGGUGGAGCGCGUCACGAUGCAGGACUCUAGACGAUUCUAGGGUAAGGGAUACAUUAGACCCAAAUACACUCAACAAUCCUUUCCUUUUGGUUUUAAAUAUGAUAUGUUUUUAGUCAGUACAGCUGUAGUUCCUGGGUUAUUUGGAUAAGCUAUCCUCUGCCUUUAUAUCCAGGACAAAUCAGAACCACUCGUGUUUUCUGUGAAUUCCCAAUCACAUUGUAAUCACGGCAGCUGUUUUUCUUCCAGAACAGAAUGGUUAUCAGGCUUUUGACUCCUUGCCAAAAUAGCUGUAAGGGUCGUGCAAUGUUUAGCCCCUCAGAGUGAUCGAGUCAGGGCAGGAGGAGGAGGGUCUUGCUGUACUCUAACUCUACAAACCCUGCUCCUACCCUGCCACGUGCUACACUACAGUACGCAAGUAUACGCAACUAGCUUAUGUUUUUUGUCUUCUCCAUGCUGCUUCCACGCUAGCUGCUGUGGCAUGCUAAAGAGUUAAUACUCUGUCUUUGAGUUGUGGCUGGCUGCAGAAUGUGAUCUAGAAAGGCUGUUGCAGCUUGAUGACAGAGAGAGCGCUACAGUACUGUAAUGUACUGUACCAGAUAAGGUUAAUCAUUUAACCUGCUAUCAGAACUGUUGCAUAUUUCAAGUUCCUUAUCCACUCUGUGUUUGUCUGUUGAUCUCUUUUCUCUCGCUUUUCUCCCUCUCUUUUCUCUCUCUUUCUCUUUUCUCCCUCUCUUUCCUCUCUCUUUUCUCUCUCCUCUCUUUUCUCUCUUUUCUCUAUCUCUUUGUCUCUCUCUCGUUUAUCUCUCUCUCCUUCUCUCUCUAUUUUCUCUCUUAUUUCUGCUCUUCUCUGUUGAUUGCCGGGGUGUAGCGUGUGCUAGUAUGGCGUGAGUGUGUGCACUGCGUCUGCGCACUGCUGGAGGAGUGGAUUUCUGUGUCAUUCUUCCUCCUCUACCCCCUCCCACCCGUGCCUGCUUUCCGCCCUCCCACUCUCUCUCCCCUCUCUCUCUCUCUUUCCUUCUCGGCCUCCAUCUCCCUUCCUUCAUUCUCUCUCUCUCCCUCUCAAGUGCAAAUACAGUUCCUUGCCGUGUUGGACGUGUGAUCAAGAAGUGUCUGGCUUUCGCGCUCCGCCGCACCUCCUAUUUCAUCAUCACUUGAGCUUUUCUCUCCUUCACUCUGCGCUUGCUAUCUCCUCUCCUCUCCUCUCCUCUCCUCUCCUC
Oncorhynchus tshawytscha (Chinook salmon) is the source of this 2714-nucleotide long non-coding RNA. The record is from Ensembl. NCBI's taxonomy places the organism in Eukaryota, Metazoa, Chordata, Actinopteri, Salmoniformes, Salmonidae.